GAGAGAGAAUACUGAACAGCUACACAUCAUUUGAAGCAUCUAUGUUAUUAACAGGCUUUCACAGUGUAAAAUAUGCAAUAUAGAGGUAUUUCAAUCAUAUAUAUACCAAGAAAACACUUCAAGUAACCACAAAGCAUUUAUGUAAUAGUCAUUUUCUUUUUUUUAAUAUAGGAACUUAUUAAAUGAAAAACUAUCAGUUUCAGCAUCUUAAUCAGAUGAAUGCAAACUUAAUGUGGCAACGGGAAAUUUAAUCCUUACUUCUCAAGCUUUAUAUAAA
RNAcentral lists this unclassified non-coding RNA (277 nucleotides) under Hevea brasiliensis (rubber tree). The record is from RNAcentral. Lineage: Eukaryota; Viridiplantae; Streptophyta; Magnoliopsida; Malpighiales; Euphorbiaceae.